RNAcentral lists this ribosomal RNA (548 nucleotides) under Kluyveromyces dobzhanskii. Its description in RNAcentral is "eukaryotic LSU rRNA". It matches the Rfam family "Eukaryotic large subunit ribosomal RNA", at positions 45 to 637 of the family's 3401-position model. The record is from RNAcentral. Lineage: Eukaryota; Fungi; Ascomycota; Saccharomycetes; Saccharomycetales; Saccharomycetaceae.
AAUAAGCGGAGGAAAAGAAACCAACCGGGAUUGCCUUAGUAACGGCGAGUGAAGCGGCAAAAGCUCAAAUUUGAAAUCUGGCGUCUUCGACGUCCGAGUUGUAAUUUGAAGAAGGUUACUUUGUAGCUGGUCCUUGUUUAUGUUCCUUGGAACAGGACGUCAUAGAGGGUGAGAAUCCCGUGUGGCGAGGAUACCAGUUAUAUGUAAAGUACUUUCGACGAGUCGAGUUGUUUGGGAAUGCAGCUCUAAGUGGGUGGUAAAUUCCAUCUAAAGCUAAAUAUUGGCGAGAGACCGAUAGCGAACAAGUACAGUGAUGGAAAGAUGAAAAGAACUUUGAAAAGAGAGUGAAAAAGUACGUGAAAUUGUUGAAAGGGAAGGGCAUUUGAUCAGACAUGGCGUUUGCUUCGGCUUUCGCUGGGCCAGCAUCAGUUUUGGCGGCUGGAUAAAUCUCGGGAAUGUGGCUCUACCGUGGUAGAGUGUUAUAGCCCGUGGGAAUACAGCCAGCUGGGACUGAGGAUUGCGACUUGUCAAGGAUGCGGCGUAAUGCA